This 399-nucleotide ribosomal RNA is filed under the name uncultured bacterium. RNAcentral describes it as "bacterial SSU rRNA". It matches the Rfam family "Bacterial small subunit ribosomal RNA", at positions 358 to 774 of the family's 1533-position model. The record is from RNAcentral.
GGAAUAUUAGUAAUGGGCGAAAGCCUGAACUAGCGACACCGCGUGUGCGAAGAAGGCCUUCGGGUUGUAAAGCACUUUUAGAGAGGAUGAGGAAGGACGGUACUCUCUGAAUAAGUCUCGGCUAACUACGUGCCAGCAGCCGCGGUAACACGUAGGAGGCAAACGUUAUCCGGAUUUACUGGGCGUAAAGCGCGUGUAGGUGGUUCUGUAAGUAGGGCGUGAAAGCUCCCGGCUCAACUGGGAGAGGCCGUUCUAAACUGCAGAGCUAGAGGAUGGUAGAGGGAGGUGGAAUUCCGGGUGUAGCGGUGGAAUGCGCAGAUAUCCGGAGGAACACCAGUGGCGAAGGCGACCUCCUGGGCCACUCCUGACACUCAGACGCGAAAGCUAGGGUAGCAAACG